UACGUAGGGCGCAAGCGUUGUCCGGAAUUAUUGGGCGUAAAGAGCUCGUAGGCGGUCUGUCGCGUCUGUUGUGAAAACUCGAGGCUCAACCUCGGGCUUGCAGUGGAUACGGGCAGACUAGAGUGCGGUAGGGGAGACUGGAAUUCCUGGUGUAGCGGUGAAAUGCGCAGAUAUCAGGAGGAACACCGGUGGCGAAGGCGGGUCUCUGGGCCGUAACUGACGCUGAGGAGCGAAAGCGUGGGGAGCGAACAGG
This 253-nucleotide ribosomal RNA is filed under the name uncultured bacterium. RNAcentral's name for it is "partial 16S ribosomal RNA". It matches the Rfam family "Bacterial small subunit ribosomal RNA", at positions 524 to 776 of the family's 1533-position model. The record is from RNAcentral.